UACGGAGGGAGCUAGCGUUGUUCGGAAUUACUGGGCGUAAAGCGCACGUAGGCGGCUUUGUAAGUUAGAGGUGAAAGCCCGGAGCUCAACUCCGGAAUUGCCUUUAAGACUGCAUCGCUUGAAUCCAGGAGAGGUGAGUGGAAUUCCGAGUGUAGAGGUGAAAUUCGUAGAUAUUCGGAAGAACACCAGUGGCGAAGGCGGCUCACUGGACUGGUAUUGACGCUGAGGUGCGAAAGCGUGGGGAGCGAACAGG
This 253-nucleotide ribosomal RNA is filed under the name uncultured bacterium. Its description in RNAcentral is "partial 16S ribosomal RNA". It matches the Rfam family "Bacterial small subunit ribosomal RNA", at positions 524 to 776 of the family's 1533-position model. The record is from RNAcentral.